This 506-nucleotide ribosomal RNA is filed under the name uncultured haloarchaeon. RNAcentral describes it as "bacterial SSU rRNA". It matches the Rfam family "Archaeal small subunit ribosomal RNA", at positions 10 to 517 of the family's 1478-position model. Lineage: Archaea; Methanobacteriati; Methanobacteriota; Halobacteria; Halobacteriales; Halobacteriaceae. The record is from RNAcentral.
GAUCCUGCCAGAGGCCAUUGCUAUCGGAGUCCGAUUUAGCCAGGCUAGUUGCACGAGUUCAGACUCGUAGCAUAUAGCUCAGUAACACGUGGCCAAACUACCCUACAGACCGCAAUAACCUCGGGAAACUGAGGCCAAUAGCGGAUAUAACUCUCAUGCUGGAGUGCAGAGAGUUAGAAAUGUUCCGGCGCUGUAGGAUGUGGCUGCGGCCGAUUAGGUAGAUGGUGGGGUAACGGCCCACCAUGCCGAUAAUCGGUACAGGUUGGGAGAGCAAGAGCCUGGAGACGGUAUCUGAGACAAGAUACCGGGCCCUACGGGGCGCAGCAGGCGCGAAACCUUUACACUGCACGACAGUGCGAUAGGGGGACUCCGAGUGUGAGGGCAUAUAGCCCUCGCUUUUCUGAACCGUAAGGGGGUUCAGGAACAAGGACUGGGCAAGACCGGUGCCAGCCGCCGCGGUAAUACCGGCAGUCCAAGUGAUGGCCGAUAUUAUUGGGCCUAAAGCG